This 2143-nucleotide long non-coding RNA is filed under the name Agrilus planipennis (emerald ash borer). Its description in RNAcentral is "uncharacterized LOC108738477". Lineage: Eukaryota; Metazoa; Arthropoda; Insecta; Coleoptera; Buprestidae. The record is from RNAcentral.
UGUGUCAUCAAGGUCUUGGAAAUGAUAAAGCAACAGCUUAUCUGAUUGAAAUUGUUAUUCAGAAUGUGGAAAGAGUUAGAACAACGAGUGUUUUCUUAUUAUUCGGUUUGACUCUUUUGUUGUUGCCGGACUGUAAUUAGUGUACUUGGUGAAAUUGUGCUAAGUGCAAGUGCAAGUAUUUACAGAAUGUGACACCCAGGAUAGAGUUACUUCGGUAUCACGACAGUCUUAUUGUAAAUAUAAUGGAGCCCACAGAGGGAAUCUUGAAGCUGAUUCCAUUAUAUUUCUUAGUCAGAGAAGUUUGAAAUCCUAUUUUACAAAAUUUGGUAGUGGAGCCCACAGGGAACCUUGAAUCCGUACCACAACGUGCUUCUAAGCCAUAGAAGUUUGAAAUUUUAUUUUACAACAUUCGCUAUUUAGGCAAGAGGAUUUAUUGAACUUUGAACUCAUGGAUUUAGUAAGAUUGAGUCUUCAUUUCCAGUAACAUUCAAAUGAUUUUUUUCAAAAAUGCAUUGGACAUUGCGUUUCCUUCAUAGGAUAUGGAAUCGUCCAUCUCCACAACGUGUCGUGAUACAAUUUUUAAUUAAAUCGGCUUAAAAAGAAUCUGAAAUCAUCCAAAAAUAAGAAGAAAAUGUACAGGGGAGUGAACGUCUCCCUAAAACUCCUGCGUCAGAGCAGUGAGUAGAAGUGAGGAAAGAGAGAGAGCGUCUAACGAAGCCAAGCAUUUCCAGGAUGAAAGACUAUUUGUUUUGAUAUACUGGGCAUUACCUAUCGUGAGUAUGUUCCUUCUGGUCAGACACUGACCGGACAAUUCUAUGUCAGCACCCUGAAGCGGUUGGAGUCACGCAUUUUCCACGUAAAGCCGGUAUUUGCAGAGAAAGGCUGGAUUCUUUACGCACCCGCGCAUUGUUCAUUGAUUGUCUAUGAGUGUUUGGCCAAAAAGGUAUUCACACGUUACCGCUUCUCCCCAUUCAGCCCGGGUUUAGCCCCAUCAUCAUCAUCAUCAUAAGGUCGUCAAUCCUAAGACUGGUUGGUCACGCAUCUCCACUCCUUCCCAUCCUGAGCUAAUCUUCGCAUUUCCCUGAAACUAGAACAUCCUACAUCGUUAACUAUUAGCCCUGUGCGACAUUUUUCUCUUUCUAAAAAUGAAGUCUCACAUUAAAAGUAUUCCUCAUGACGCCGUAGAAGAGAUCAAGGCAACUGUGACGACGGUUCUGAGCUCCAUAACUUUAAAAAGCGGAGGGUGUUUCCAAUCGGUGUUAAGGGUUGUCACAAGACUCUAAAGGGUGUCUAUUACAGUAAAACCUACAAAUAUUUAUACAAAUAAUAAUUUUGUUUUAUUUCCUGUGAUCGAUAAAAUUACCAAAUGUUUGACGAAGUUAAUAGAUGGUACGAUGGUAUCAUGGGCGAAAAUGGACUGUGCAGUUAUAUUAAAACAAAUGAGAAUCUGUCGUGCGAGUAAAAUCAAAAAGUAAUUAAACUACAAAGCAAAUAUGCCAAAUUGCUUUGUAUUAUUAGCGAACUAUGUUGCGAGCGAAUAGUUUUCAGCUUUUAUUAAAUUCCAAAUUAAUUGUUGUCUUGCUUUGUAAAUAUUAGCUGCUGCUGCUCCAACUGAUGGAUACGAUGGCAUAAAAAAAUGUUACAAACAAAAAAGCAAUUCAGCGAUGAAAAACUUUUUUUAUUUUAUGUAAUAAAGGAGGUAUUUAGUCAAAAAACAAUUAUGUAUUCUACUCUUCGUUUUAUUGACUUUUUUAACGUAUAAAGACAGAAGAAUGCCCGAGCACGUCAACAACAGACCGAAACAUUGAUGAAGUGAAGAAAUUAGUACUAGUCAAUCGUCGAAUCUCCGUUAGAGAAGUUGCUGAAAACUUAAACAUAUCGACUGGCUCCUGCCAUUUAAUUUUUACCAAUGAUUUGAGUAUGAGCGGGCCGCCGCAAAAUUCGUACCAAAAUUGCUCAAUUUCGACCAAAAACAGCAUCUCAUUAACAUUGUUUUGGAGCUGCUGGACUCUGUCCGCGACAACCUAAGUUUCCUCCAGAGGUUCAUAAUGGGUGACGAAUCGUGGUUUUAUGGUUAUGACGUGGAAACUAAAACUCAAUCAUCCCAAUGGAAGCUGCCGCACGAGCCAAGACCGAAAAAAGC